GACGAACGCUGGCGGCGUGCUUAACACAUGCAAGUCGAACGGAAAGGCCCUGCUUUUGUGGGGUGCUCGAGUGGCGAACGGGUGAGUAACACGUGAGUAACCUGCCCUUGACUUUGGGAUGACUUCAGGAAACUGGGGCUAAUAUCGGAUAGGAGCUCCUGCUGCAUGGUGGGGGUUGGAAAGUUUCGGCGGUUGGGGAUGGACUCGCGGCUUAUCAGCUUGUUGGUGGGGUAGUGGCUUACCAAGGCUUUGACGGGUAGCCGGCCUGAGAGGGUGACCGGCCACAUUGGGACUGAGAUACGGCCCAGACUCCUACGGGAGGCAGCAGUGGGGAAUAUUGCACAAUGGGCGGAAGCCUGAUGCAGCAACGCCGCGUGCGGGAUGACGGCCUUCGGGUUGUAAACCGCUUUCGCCUGUGACGAAGCGUGAGUGACGGUAAUGGGUAAAGAAGCACCGGCUAACUACGUG
This 468-nucleotide ribosomal RNA is filed under the name uncultured bacterium. RNAcentral's name for it is "partial 16S ribosomal RNA". It matches the Rfam family "Bacterial small subunit ribosomal RNA", at positions 28 to 507 of the family's 1533-position model. The record is from RNAcentral.